Capsicum annuum is the source of this 1013-nucleotide long non-coding RNA. RefSeq lists it as uncharacterized. The transcript has 2 exons. NCBI's taxonomy places the organism in Eukaryota, Viridiplantae, Streptophyta, Magnoliopsida, Solanales, Solanaceae. The record is from RefSeq and is a predicted model, not a curated record.
UAUAUACAUCAUCAUCAUCCAUUCAGAGUGGGCUUCCUUUUCACUUCUUCUUCACCAUCAUUCACGCCAUAUACACCAUACGCACACAGAUCAGGAGAGAGGCAUAAAUUGCACACACAAUACCAAGAACACACACCCCUCUCACACCUACACACCCUAAAUCAGACGCAUACACAGAAAAAAAAGGGAUAGAGAAAGUGAAAUCGAGAGAGAAGGUGAAUGGAAAAAGGAAUUUGGGUGAGAAAUUAAGAAAGAGAGAGAUGAAAUCAGAGAGAUGUGACAGCGAAUCGAUGCUGAGAGAGUGAAAUCGAGAGAGGAGGUGAACGGGAAAGGGGAUAACGGGGUAAAUCUGGUGUGUCGAUUGCUUUUUCAGUGAACCUUUACGUCGGAUUUGGUCUGCAGGUGGUCUUGUGAUCGACUUGAGUUUAAAGUUCUUGAAUCUUCUUCGUCCCCACUGAUUUCAAAGCAAAUCUGGCCGAGAAAUAGUGAGGAUCGCUGGAAUUUUUGGUCCGUCUUUUUUUGUCUCGUCUGAGCUCACCGGAGCUCAAGCUACGUCGGUUUUCGAUCUUCUGUCGUAUUGAUUGGGGUUUUGGGUUCGUCUAUUCUCACGCCGUUCGGGUAGUACAUUCUUGAUACCGAGUGGAUUGUGCUACUAUGGAGGUUUCCGUUCGAGGAUUCCUGUCCCGGGUUUCUUUAUUAUCGACAAAACAUUCUAUCGAGUACAUUUGUAUUGACCCCCUAUAUUUCAAGAUCUGAGGCUCAAUCCCGGGGUCCCGCUAAGCAAUAGAUUGGGAUGUCAGAAGUUUGCAGCUGGUGAGCCUCCCUUAUUUCGGAAGGCCUUGGUUAUGGAACAUUGAUAUUUGAUGUUUAGUUCAUGAUCCGACUGGGAUCCUUGUCCCAAUUUUCAGACAGAUGUCGUUCACGUAUUAUUAGAGAUUUCGCAAACUGGUGUUAAAUGUUUCUGAAUGUUUAUGAACUUCUUCUAUUCAUAAUGAUUAGUUGGAUUGAGAGAA